AUAUCUCUCCGUACGGGAAGGAUGAGAAGCUUCGACUAAGGUUCGAUUCGAGCGCAGCGAGAACGCGUUGCCGCAGGCA
This 79-nucleotide small RNA is filed under the name Salmonella enterica subsp. enterica serovar Heidelberg. RNAcentral's name for it is "partial RtT sRNA". It matches the Rfam family "RtT RNA", at positions 1 to 78 of the family's 130-position model. Rfam says of the family: This family represents a bacterial cis-regulatory element known as RtT RNA. The exact function of RtT is unknown although it is thought that it may be involved in changing the cellular response in relation to amino acid starvation. Lineage: Bacteria; Pseudomonadati; Pseudomonadota; Gammaproteobacteria; Enterobacterales; Enterobacteriaceae. RNAcentral also lists the same sequence under 4 other names. The record is from RNAcentral.